UACGGAGGGGGCUAGCGUUGUUCGGAAUUACUGGGCGUAAAGCGCACGUAGGCGGCUUUGUAAGUUAGAGGUGAAAGCCCGGAGCUCAACUCCGGAAUUGCCUUUAAGACUGCAUCGCUAGAAUUGUGGAGAGGUGAGUGGAAUUCCGAGUGUAGAGGUGAAAUUCGUAGAUAUUCGGAAGAACACCAGUGGCGAAGGCGGCUCACUGGACCGGCAUUGACGCUGAGGUGCGAAAGCGUGGGGAGCAAACAGG
RNAcentral lists this ribosomal RNA (253 nucleotides) under uncultured bacterium. RNAcentral describes it as "partial 16S ribosomal RNA". It matches the Rfam family "Bacterial small subunit ribosomal RNA", at positions 524 to 776 of the family's 1533-position model. The record is from RNAcentral.